Molecule: long non-coding RNA, 203 nt
Filed under: Mytilus galloprovincialis (Mediterranean mussel)
Lineage: Eukaryota; Metazoa; Mollusca; Bivalvia; Mytilida; Mytilidae
Source: RNAcentral
GUGGUUCAAGUUUUUGGAAAUUAUUCAAAGGGUGAACGUAACUUAUUUUGCCAAAAUUUGAUGAAAAUCAAACCAGUCAAAUUAAUUUUUGUCAAGGUGUUAGGUACCAUGUACCUAAAUCCAAUUACAAAAAUAAUAUGCAUUCUCAGGAUAAAGAAUGUUAUCCUCAUCUCCUGGGUUUUUCGUUGUAUUAUGAAUGCAUU